UCCCCAGUGGUGCAACUAGGUAGCGCGCGGUACUUAUAAUGCAGAGGUUGUAAAUUUGAUCCUCACCUGGGGAA
Molecule: non-coding RNA, 74 nt
Organism: Trichonephila clavata
Lineage: Eukaryota; Metazoa; Arthropoda; Arachnida; Araneae; Nephilidae
Source: the annotation of a GenBank genome assembly